RNAcentral lists this long non-coding RNA (983 nucleotides) under Pan troglodytes (chimpanzee). RNAcentral's name for it is "long non-coding RNA NONPTRT006830". The record is from RNAcentral. Lineage: Eukaryota; Metazoa; Chordata; Mammalia; Primates; Hominidae.
GAAAGUAUAAAAACAAGAUUGGCUUACUAUGGGAACACAGACAGUUCAUCUAGAAAAAUGGUCCAGAAGGUAAAGCAUACGGUGCAGAUGCCAUAAGUGGAUGGAUUUGGUGGUGGGAAUUUGAGGAAACCCUCUUCAGAUUGCUUCAUUUUCCCAGUGAUACAGGAAGCAAGUCAUCAGCCAAUAGUGCGGGUGUGUGAGGACGCCUAGGGGAUUUCUGAGGUGAGCCCCUGCCUCUUACCUCUUGACCUUCAAAUGUAGGAUGGUCACUUGCAGAUAAGUCCUAACUCCAACCUUUAUCAUGCUGAGUCCAGCCCUUGAGGACCCCUUCACAAGCACAGAGGUUCAAAUGGAAGGAAAACUGGAAAAUCCACAGAAUCAAUAAGAGAUAUAUGCUUUGGAUUAGAGCCGAAGGUGAAACUUGAUGAUAAACCCUUGGAUGUUUCACGUGGUGUAAUUUCAGUGGUAACUGUGAACAUUUUGUUUAUUCGUACUGUUCCAACAUGGGCAGGUCUGGGCAAACCUACUCCCAAAGUCCAAGGAAGCUGAAAGACCAAAGAAAGAGGCUGACAAAUCCAGUCUCUCAGGAACAUUUAAUAGGGACUUACAAACAGAAACCAUGACUGUGUCUCAGGAAGCGGCAAGUGUUUCGGACAUUGAAGUUAGCAAAUGGGAAAUUGAGACAGCAAAUUUAGGAAAGAAAAUGGCCAGCAAAGGAUAACCAGACACUUGAAAUGUCCUCUAAUCGACAGAGAGAAAACCAAACUAGUAUAAAUAAGGGACCUGGGUUAUGCAGAAAUGACUCCAGGAGCAAAAGAAAGGUCUACAUCUUUAUCUGGAUCUGUAUCAGCGUCUUUAGUAGAAUGAAAGGAGAUAUUUCACCUGCCUGGACCGCGAAUUGCAAAAGGAACAACAUUGCACACAAAAGAAUUGUCCAAGAACAAGAAAAGAACUUUUAGAAAUUAAAGUAUUUGAAGUCCUUG